RNAcentral lists this ribosomal RNA (274 nucleotides) under uncultured bacterium. RNAcentral's name for it is "partial 16S ribosomal RNA". It matches the Rfam family "Bacterial small subunit ribosomal RNA", at positions 523 to 796 of the family's 1533-position model. The record is from RNAcentral.
AUACGGAGGGUGCAAGCGUUACUCGGAAUCACGGGGCGUAAAGCGCGCGCAGGCGGCUAUUUAAGUUGGAUGUGAAAGCCUACGGCUCAACCGUAGAACUGCAUCCAAAACUAUUUAGCUAGAGUGUGGGAGAGGAAGAUGGAAUUAGUUGUGUAGGGGUAAAAUCCGUAGAGAUAACUAGGAAUACCAAAAGCGAAGGCAAUCUUCUGGAACACUACUGACGCUGAGGCGCGAAAGCGUGGGGAGCAAACAGGAUUAGAAACCCCUGUAGUCC